Jaculus jaculus (lesser Egyptian jerboa) is the source of this 107-nucleotide small nuclear RNA. The record is from Ensembl. Lineage: Eukaryota; Metazoa; Chordata; Mammalia; Rodentia; Dipodidae.
GUGCUCGAUUCGGCAGCACAUAUACUAAAUUUGGAAAGAUAUAGAGAAGAUUAGCAUGGCCCCUGCACAAGGAUGAAACGCAAAUUCAGUAAGCGUUCCAUAUUUUU